UACAGAGGGUGCUAGCGUUGUUCGGAAUCAUUGGGCGUAAAGGGCGUGUAGGCGGUUUGCUAAGUCAUGUGUGAAAUCCCUCGGCUCAACCGGGGAACGACGCAUGAAACUGGCAGCUAGAGUACCAAAGAGGGGGUGGAAUUCCCGGGUGUAGCGGUGAAAUGCGUAGAUAAUCGGGAGGAACACCUGUGGCGAAGGCGGCCCCCUGGUUGGAUACGU
This 219-nucleotide ribosomal RNA is filed under the name uncultured bacterium. RNAcentral's name for it is "partial 16S ribosomal RNA". It matches the Rfam family "Bacterial small subunit ribosomal RNA", at positions 524 to 742 of the family's 1533-position model. The record is from RNAcentral.